Molecule: long non-coding RNA, 442 nt
Organism: Saccostrea cuccullata (small rock oyster)
Lineage: Eukaryota; Metazoa; Mollusca; Bivalvia; Ostreida; Ostreidae
Exons: 3
Source: RefSeq, a predicted model, not a curated record
CCGACGGCGACUCGCAAAUUAGACAAGAGUGUAAACAUAUCCAGACAAAGCUUUUGGAAGAUUUCAAGAAAGUUACAAAGAUCCUUAAAGACACAGGAUUUUUAUUAAUCUAACUUGCUGCUUGAGACUGAUAAACUAGAUUUAAGAAAUCGUCACAGAGCUCCAGAUUAGAAUCCACAACCACUUUCAAUGACCAGACUUCCAUGCAGUAAACUCUAUAUUUACAGAAGAUAAAAAAAUAUCUACAGAUUGAAGAACCAUUCUUCAAGAAAAGAAAACAGCUCUUGAUGUAGAACAGCUCACUUGAACCAUCUUUAUCUCUUCCACUUUUCUUCAGAGCAAAAGGAAUGAAUAACAAUGAAUGAAAGAAUUACAAUUUUGAAAUGAGUUAUUAUGGUUUUUAAUUGGCAGAUGUUUAAAGUUCACUUUUAAAAAAAGUUUA